UUUAGGGAGACCUAAUCCACUCAGAAUCUCGAAAGCAAAAAGCGAAUAGAGAAUGAGAGGGUCUAGCCUAGGUCGGUCGAGAUUGGUGAAAGCUUUCAAAGUAAUACUUUUCGGUUAAUUAACUAAAAAAGACUGCAAUUGAGAAGAGGAAGAGUCAGCAACUAACGGCUUAGAGAAGAGAGUUAGACUGCUGGUGUAAUUCCAGCCAGAACCUUGAAAACUGCAUAGAAACGCGAAAGAAUAGCAGGCAGACACAAGUAUCGAACAGAUAGAAAGUGUGUGCUGGAUGAGAACCAAUUGUAUUGU
This 306-nucleotide unclassified non-coding RNA is filed under the name Nostoc sp. MS1B-PS. RNAcentral's name for it is "16S-23S ribosomal RNA intergenic spacer". Lineage: Bacteria; Bacillati; Cyanobacteriota; Cyanophyceae; Nostocales; Nostocaceae. The record is from RNAcentral.